AUUUAAGAGCGCGGAAUCCCCCUAGACUAAAACACAUCCAGAAAGGAUCAGCCUUUAUUAAGGGCGAAAUGAAGCUAUAGCUAUAAAAAAAUUGGACGGAUUCGAACUCAAGACCAUACGACUCUUAGCGCAUGCAAUAAUCAACUAUACCAUAGUCAUCUUACAGUAACUAUGCACACGAAUCGUUGUGCCACACGAAACACAUUUUUUCUUGAAAUUUGAGAGAUGUUUCUGGAAAAAAUUAAUGCACUAGAGGGUUAACAUACCACCAUCAUGUGCAACAAGAGUGAAUAUUUAUAUUUCAUUGGACAGAUGUUCUUACUGAAGUUUCCAGUUGACAUUGCAUUUAUUGAUGAUUCAACAACAGAAGACGCAUUGUACAUUAAAAAGAAACAAGCCAUUUAUCGUACUUAUUUAAUUUGUAUUUUUAUUUUAUUUUUUAUUUGAUAGAAAUAUUUUUUUAAAAUCCCAAUCGGUUGAAUGGGAAAUAAUUUCGUCGCGUUAUUCUUCUCUUACGGUAACAAUUCAAAAAUAAUAUAAUUACAAUUAACGUUAAAAUCAAUAGUAUAUACAUAGGCAGACUGAAUGAUUCAUCUUUCAUAUGAAUAGAUUUGUUUAAAUUUGGUGAUUGUUGUGGAAAUGGAUCGCUAUCAAAAUCAACAUUUUCAUUUCUAACAUUCUCUCCACUUGUGUCGAAUUUAUUACUCAACAUGGGCAUAUCAACCGAUGGAUUCUUAUUUCGCCAACUCUUUGCCGGUAGAUCAAUGUCGUCUGGACUCAGAUUUCCUAAUGAACGAAAUUUCAUUUAGAGCGAACGUUUUAUACUGUGAUUAAAUAAAUUGAAAUGAUUUUCUUUUAAAUUGCACAUUACGUACCUCACCUUUUUGACUUUCAAGCUUUCGCCGAAGAUUUGAUUCGCCCACUUCAUAUAAAUCAUCUUUGCUUCGUCCAUUUAAAUGAAAAUCAGCUGGAGCGCUAAUAUUUAAAAAUAUUGGCGUUUCCCACU
Molecule: long non-coding RNA, 1006 nt
Organism: Contarinia nasturtii (swede midge)
Lineage: Eukaryota; Metazoa; Arthropoda; Insecta; Diptera; Cecidomyiidae
Exons: 3
Source: RefSeq, a predicted model, not a curated record